This 516-nucleotide ribosomal RNA is filed under the name uncultured archaeon. RNAcentral's name for it is "bacterial SSU rRNA". It matches the Rfam family "Archaeal small subunit ribosomal RNA", at positions 325 to 849 of the family's 1478-position model. The record is from RNAcentral.
ACGGGGUGCAGCAGGCGCGAAACCUCCGCAAUACACGAAAGUGUGACGGGGUUACCCAAAGUGUUCUAUUUAGAACUGUGGUAGGUGAGUAAUGUCCCCUACUAGAAAGGAGAGGGCAAGGCUGGUGCCAGCCGCCGCGGUAAAACCAGCUCUUCAAGUGGUCGGGAUAAUUAUUGGGCUUAAAGUGUCCGUAGCCGGUUUAGUAAGUUCCUGGUAAAAUCGGGUAGCUUAACUAUCUAUAUGCUAGGAAUACUGCUAUACUAGAGGGCGGGAGAGGUCUGAGGUACUACAGGGGUAGGGGUGAAAUCUUAUAAUCCUUGUAGGACCACCAGUGGCGAAGGCGUCAGACUGGAACGCGCCUGACGGUGAGGGACGAAAGCCAGGGGAGCGAACCGGAUUAGAUACCCGGGUAGUCCUGGCCGUAAACGAUGCAUACUAGGUGAUGGCACGGCCAUGAGCCGUGUCAGUGCCGUAGGGAAACCGUUAAGUGUGCCGCCUGAAAGUACGUCGCAAGGC